GCCUAAUCCGAACCCGAUAAAUACCCGCAAGACCUCCGAUGAACCCUCCCAGCCCCGCGCCCGCUCUCUCUCCGCCGUUUCUCCGACGCCCUCUCCCCCUCCCACAUGUACGGGCAGCCGCCGCGCUUCCGCCCCUCCGGCGGCGGCCGCGGGCAGCCUCCGCCGCCGCAGCAGCCAACUGCGAUGCCGAACCCUCACGGGAUUGACGCCGACGUAGAUUGGUGUCAUUCUUCAUGACUCUCACGGGAUUGCCCAGGUGAGAGCGUCACGGGGAGCAAGAUUUUGCGUAUCCUCAAGGCUACGGCUGUUCAGAGAUCUGAGUGCCCUUUUCACUAGUUGUCUCUGGUUCAAUACAAACGUCUUCUUUGGUAAAGGAUUUUUGUGGGGAUGGUUGAGUUGCUGGCUGAGAGGGUUCACCAAUUGGCGGUCCAUGAGAUCCUAUGAUUUGUUUGAGUGCCAGUUCUGAUUCAAGAAUUUUGAGUAAUGCUGGUCCAUGAGUUUCUGUAAUUUGUGCAAAUAGACCCUUGAGGACCACUUCUUUUUCUAGUGGGAUUUGUGCUAAGGGAGAUGAAGCAGUAAGUCGUAGAGGUGAAACAGGAGAUACAACUGCUAUCUUCUUUCCAAGAUGUAAUCGAGAUUUAGGCAUUUUUUCUACAGCAGUUAUUCCUUCCAUAGAAGAUGAUAAUUCUGUACUUGCCAUCCUUGAUCCUCCGGCUUGUUGAGAUUGAGAAAUACUCUGGCUUUGGGUUGCUUUAGUAGAUCCUUUGGGUUGGUCAGUGA
Molecule: long non-coding RNA, 780 nt
Organism: Eucalyptus grandis
Lineage: Eukaryota; Viridiplantae; Streptophyta; Magnoliopsida; Myrtales; Myrtaceae
Exons: 2
Source: RefSeq, a predicted model, not a curated record